RNAcentral lists this unclassified non-coding RNA (1805 nucleotides) under Leishmania donovani. RNAcentral's name for it is "gene:LdHU3.10.1050(CDS-product:hypothetical_prote in_conserved)". Lineage: Eukaryota; Euglenozoa; Kinetoplastea; Trypanosomatida; Trypanosomatidae. The record is from RNAcentral.
CUGGAACCACAUAAGCAAGCAACAAGAUGCUUCGCCUCCGCGGUGCCUGUGCUGUCGCGACAUCCGUCGCCUCGGCCGCCUUGCCACGCGUGACGCACCCGAGCGGCGCCUCUUCGCUGCCGUGCAUCCGUGUGGCGAUGAAGACGACGGCUGUUCUUCUGCCCGUGGCACCAUCGAUGGCGUUGGCAGCAACAUGGAACCCUCAGCGCCAGUUCCGCUUUCCCUCUGUGAACCUUCGUACUAGUCCUGUUAGCUGCGGUGCGACGCCGACGCCGACCUUCCUGCGCAGGGCACGGCUCUCCACACCCUCCUUACUCUCUCAGAACGUCAUCCAGUAUCGCUGGAUGCGCGCGAAGAAUCAACAGCAGCAGGACCGCAACGCCGAGGAGACCGGUAAGGAGGGUGAAGAGUCGAACAGCAAGACGGAGGGCGGGGACCAGGGCAGCGAUCAACAGAGUGGCUCCUCCGCGAAGGGCAGCAAGAACAAGAAGGGCGGCAAGGGCCAAGCCAAGAAGAAGAGCCUCAUGGAUCAUGUUCGCGGCCUGCGUGACGACUACGCCAACUUUCCGCACAUCUACAACAGCGUCAACGCCAUCAACUUCGUCGUCUUCACCGUAUUUUGCCUCUGCAGCACCGGUAGCAACACGGAGGAGCGCUGGUGGUUGGAGAAGUGGGGAGUCGACAACAGCGUUCGCCCGUGGACGUGGCUGCUGCACUCCUUCUUGACAAAUAACUUCCUUGCCAUGACGUACGCGAUGAUGCUGCUGCACACCAUGUGCCACCAUGUCCUGCCUACACUGGGCUCCCGCGGACUGAUGAUGUACUGCGGUGGCACCGCCGUCUUCUCAGGCGCGAUUAUGUGGCUGAGCAACUACCUCUACUACGGCAGUACGGCCGCCCCGGAGAAGCAGUUCGGCCCGUGGGACGUGAUUGCUGCGUUGUUUGUAAUGGAGUACCUCUACUACGGUGUGACACCAAUGAGCAUCUUGAGCAGCUUCAGCGGCUGGAUCAAGUACGCGUGCUGGGUGGGUGGGGUGUGCAUCUUGUACUUCGACUGGCAGCCAACGCUCAUCGGCACGCUGGUCGGGCUGGCGUUUUGCAAGGGUGUGCCGCGCUGGCAGGCGGUGAGGCCGACGACUACGGCGGCGUAAAGGCUAACAAAGGCAGAGGGAGCGAGGAAGCGAGGAAGGGACACGAUUGCAGCUAAAGCGCGCCAAGGACGCUUGAUAGGAAGAGAGGGGGGGAGGGGGUGGCGUCAUGGUGUUCAGCGAAGUGUCAAGCAUGGCAGGCGGCUGUUCAGCCACGAAGGAGGAAGGAGGGAGGGAGGUUGUGGAGUACGGUGCAGUCCCCCUCCUCUCCCUGCCUCACCCCCACCCCACCCCAUCCUUCCGCUCCAUGCGCUGAGCAGAUCAAGACGGUGGUGAGCACAACUCUUCACAUCAUUGCCUGCUUCUUUCGUGUUUUCGAACUUCCCCAUCGUGUAUGUAUGCGCAUACGCAUGUGCAUGUGUUGUUGAGCAUCUGUUCGCUUGAUCUGAUCCCGAGUUACCUUGGUGGUGCUGCCGCGGUCACGCCACCGCUGGUGCACACGCAUACGUGCAUACGCAUACGCAGCGUCGCAGCGGCUGUGUGGUUGCCAGUGUGUCUGCCUUUGUUUCGAUUCGCGUGCGGGUGAGGGUGCCUCACUCGCUCGUGUUUCCUCGUCCCUCGUGGCAGAGCAGGGCGGGGGUGGAUGUGGUGUCCGCCUCGCUGCCCUUGUUGUUGCCACCGUCGCAGUCAUUCCUUUGAUGCGCUUCCCUGUUAACU